UACGUAGGGUGCAAGCGUUAAUCGGAAUUACUGGGCGUAAAGCGUGCGCAGGCGGUUAUGCAAGACAGAUGUGAAAUCCCCGGGCUUAACCUGGGAACUGCAUUUGUGACUGUAUAGCUGGAGUACGGUAGAGGGGGAUGGAAUUCCGCGUGUAGCAGUGAAAUGCGUAGAUAUGCGGAGGAACACCGAUGGCGAAGGCAGUCCCCUGGACCUGUACUGACGCUCAUGCACGAAAGCGUGGGGAGCAAACAGG
Molecule: ribosomal RNA, 253 nt
Filed under: uncultured bacterium
Lineage: Bacteria
Description: partial 16S ribosomal RNA
Rfam family: Bacterial small subunit ribosomal RNA
Source: RNAcentral